GAUGUGCCCCAGUAGAUCAUGGAACAAAAGCUGCAUGUACACUGAGUCUACAAAGGAGUCCAAUUCCAUGUAUCAAGAAUCGAACCCCCACAUUGCGACUGCCAGCAAGGCGUGAGAUAACCAUAUCUUAAAAUACUAGACCAAAUCUUACCAAUUAACCAUACCUCCCAACAAUCAAUUCAUUGCCAUACACAUGCCCA
Molecule: long non-coding RNA, 200 nt
Filed under: Olea europaea (common olive)
Lineage: Eukaryota; Viridiplantae; Streptophyta; Magnoliopsida; Lamiales; Oleaceae
Description: long non-coding RNA (OEUR_LNC001442)
Source: RNAcentral